RNAcentral lists this ribosomal RNA (253 nucleotides) under uncultured bacterium. RNAcentral's name for it is "partial 16S ribosomal RNA". It matches the Rfam family "Bacterial small subunit ribosomal RNA", at positions 524 to 776 of the family's 1533-position model. The record is from RNAcentral.
UACGAAGGGGGCUAGCGUUGCUCGGAAUCACUGGGCGUAAAGCGCACGUAGGCGGCUUGUUAAGUCAGGGGUGAAAUCCUGGAGCUCAACUCCAGAACUGCCUUUGAUACUGGCGAGCUUGAGUUCGGGAGAGGUGAGUGGAACUGCGAGUGUAGAGGUGAAAUUCGUGGAUAUUCGCAAGAACACCAGUGGCGAAGGCGGCUCACUGGCCCGAUACUGACGCUGAGGUGCGAAAGCGUGGGGAGCAAACAGG